UCCGGUUUAUCACCGGCGGUCCCCUUAGAGUUCCCGACCGAAUCGCUGGCAACUAAGGGCGAGGGUUGCGCUCGUUACGGGACUUAACCCAACAUCUCACGACACGAGCUGACGACAGCCAUGCAGCACCUGUCUCUCGGUUCCCGAAGGCACUCCACCAUCUCUGGCGGAUUCCGAGGAUUUCAAGGGUAGGUAAGGUUCUUCGCGUAGCAUCGAAUUAAACCACAUGCUCCACCGCUUGUGCGAGCCCCCGUCAAUUCCUUUGAGUUUUAACCUUGCGGCCGUACUCCCCAGGCGGAGAACUUAACGCGUUAGCUUCGAUACUAAGAAGCAAGCUUCCCAACAUCUAGUUCUCAUCGUUGACAGCGUGGACUAC
This 376-nucleotide unclassified non-coding RNA is filed under the name uncultured Gammaproteobacteria bacterium. RNAcentral's name for it is "contains 16S-23S intergenic spacer region". The record is from RNAcentral. Lineage: Bacteria; Pseudomonadati; Pseudomonadota; Gammaproteobacteria.